This is a long non-coding RNA of Aegilops tauschii subsp. strangulata, 1082 nucleotides long. RefSeq lists it as uncharacterized. Lineage: Eukaryota; Viridiplantae; Streptophyta; Magnoliopsida; Poales; Poaceae. The record is from RefSeq and is a predicted model, not a curated record.
AGCGCCAAUCAUGGAACCGUCACCCAAGGGACGGACGGGUUAAGGAUGAUAAUUAAAGCGGACUUUGAUAGAGAGACACGUGAGAAAUAGAGUGAUAGAGAGAGAUACGUGAAAAUUAAAGCGGUUUUAAUUUCUUUCUUUUCUGUAAUUAAAGAGAUACGCAUGAGAAAUAGAGAGAUAAGAGAGAUACCUGAGAAUUAAAGCUGUUUUAAUUUUUUCCGUUUCUAUGAUUAAAGAUCUGAUCUACACAGUUAUAAUCUUGACCUGCAAAAUCAACGGCCUCCAUUUUCUAUUUUUCUCUAAUUAAUGUGGGAAUUUCUUGGGAGUGCCUAUUAGUAUAGGUAUAUAUAUGUGCAAAAAUCUCGACAUUAAUGAACAUAUAUCUGGUGCACUUGCAAUCUUUUGUAGUACAUUAAUGAAUAUUUAAAGUAUUUUCCAACUCUUGCUAUUUAUAGACUUGUCGUCCGUGUCUGCCACAUUUGGAGUCCAACUAUUUCCUACUGGAACCUUACACUCCACUAGAACUGAGUUUGUCAAGUAACAGAUAACCAAUAUGAGAGGGAGCAGCCUAGUGCAGGCGACGAUGAUAUUCUUCAUUGGAUGCCUUGUGCUUUGUGCACAGUGUGCUCUCGAUAAUAAGCAAAGGAUGGUCAACCAGGAUGAUCAUGCGGCGAACACAAGUACCAACGCUACCAUCAUCAACUCAACAACUGUAGGCGAGAGCAAGAAAACCGAGAAAUUUUGCAGCCUCUUUCUCGUAUGUUAUUUCAACAUUGAGAUUCGUGCUGAGUGCUACUGUUGCGAGAAUAAGAAUGCCGACUGUUACAAGACGAAGAGUGAGUGCCUGCAAAAGUGCCAUUCCUACAACGGUUAAUGCCCACCUUCAUCGCGGUCUUUGGGAUAGAAUUCCAUAUGCUUGGAAAAUUUGCCCGUCGGUAAUAAAAGGCACCUUAUAUGGUUUGGGCAAUUAGGUUCCAAUUAAACAUGAGAAAGCCCGCAUGUUUCCGUGUAGAUCCAACAAGGAAAAAUUUGAUGAAAGAAAUCCAAGUAACUAGUUGUCUUGCAUAUUUACAAAGUUCAAA